UUGAUUACCUGGAUUUUGUUUGGUUUUGUUGCUGCUUUUUCUCCCUUGGUGUGCCUUGGCUGUCCUGUAAGUAGUAGAGUGAAUCUUGCCAAUGAACUUGUCUUGCUUUGCUGCUUAAUAUUAAAUCUGACUUUUGCUCAUACUCUUGCCGAUGAUUUUAAGUGAUCUCAAACACUCUCAUUUGUAACAAACAUGGACUAUAUAAAUUUGUCUGUAUAUAAUCUUUGUCUACAAGAAAAUCUAUCUCUGUGAUAGUUCUGACUGAAGUGACUUCAAGCAAAAAUCUCCAUCGACCCUGACUUGUCAAAACAGUCAAACUGGUCUAUAAAACCAAACAAAAAAUCUAGGCAAGGGCACAGUUAGAUUUUGCUUAGCUUGCUUAUCAUCUCUUGAAGGAAGGAAAAACACCAAAGAGAAAAAAAUAGAACAAGGACAUAAAUCCAACUGCCGUAAGAAUCUCUGAUUUUGCACCCACCAGGCUUAGGGAGGGUGAUCUGGUUUGUGACAUCUCCCCGCCCUGCCCCUGUGCGCGCCUCGGGGAAGAAAAAUCCUUCCGACGGUGUUACACAAGGUCACGGAAGGCAUCCCCCGCUCCCCCGGCCGGCUGCAGAGCUGCCUCCGGCACAGCGCGCCGGGACCCCCGCGGGACAGCGCGGCCAGCCCGGGACGGGGCCGGCCCCGCUCCGCACUGGGGCAAGGAGCCUCGCACGGCUGCGCUGGCCGCUGCCCGCCUCUCUCCUGCCCACUCCGCCUGUUCUUUAAAAAGACCAACCCAAAGCGAUCAGCCCCUCGCCCGUCCCCUCCUGCAGCAGGUGGAGGGAUGAGGUUCGCGGGCUCCAGCCGCCCCGACAGCGCCCGCGUAUCCUGCAGGACUCGCGUCCAGGGCCAGCGAGGCGUUUGCGGGGCUCCCCCCUCCCGGCACUGACAAGAGUUUACACAGAAGCGUCGCCGCUCCAGGAACAAUUGUGGAAACUUGGAUAUCCUUGGGAUGAAGAAAAAGAGAUUUUUCUCUACUGGUUCGUUUCAAAACUAUGCAGAUAUUUAACAAUUCUGCACUUUAACGCUGCUGUAUUUUUCCCGAGAGGAGAUUGAUCCACGCAUGUCGGCCAUGCAUAUUAACCACUGGGAUUAAUUUUUAAAGGGGGAACGGUGCGACACUGUUUUGCCAUGCUGUGUUCUCAAAUUCUUUUGUAAGCUCAGCGGCAUACGUAGUGUAAAUGCUAUAAAUAUAAACAUUCAUCACCAUAUUCAAGAUGGAUCAGGUUAGGAUUGCAGCAUCACUAUACAUCUAAAAAAUUAAUUUUAUUUCA
Long non-coding RNA from Prinia subflava (tawny-flanked prinia), 1310 nucleotides. RefSeq lists it as uncharacterized. The transcript is spliced from 2 exons. The record is from RefSeq and is a predicted model, not a curated record. NCBI's taxonomy places the organism in Eukaryota, Metazoa, Chordata, Aves, Passeriformes, Cisticolidae.